UUAUUUAUUUAUACUUUACAAAGCAUAUUAUAUAAAUUAGUUGGCGUCGCGAACUUAAGUCAUAUACGUACAAACCACAUAUGUAUACACAUGUAGUCUAUAAAUAUAUAACAGAAGACAUUCGACAGAACAUUAGACGAAGGUAUUUUACAUACGAUAGUUGACCAUUAUCGAUAACAUGCGUAUUAAGUUAAUUAAUUGAGUUAUGUUCGCUGUUUGAAUUAAUCAAUUAGAUAGCACGUUCCAAUUGUAGGAGAUAGUUCCGUGCUGAGUGAUGAUAGCUGUUCAUUCAUCAAGCAAUUAAGAGAGAAGUCACUUGGUGGUGGGUGAGAAUCGCUGCCAUCUACUGUCUUUCAGCUUCAAGUGGGAUAUUUGCAUUGCUAUUCUGUAGAAUGGAAGAAGUGUGUAUAGAGUUAUUUCCCUGAAGGUGUCACUGGAUCUCUGCUUCUGGAUCCAGUAGUGAAAGGAUGUCUUCUCAUGCUCUCACGCCUGGCCUGUAGGACGCGAUCCUGGAUAUGCUGGUAGUUGGAGUGCUGGGGCUGGACAUCUUCAUUAUCUGGGUACCGUGUUGUUGCUGCAGAUACAUCUAUUUGUUGUGCUGGUUGCAGGGGCGUCAUUCUGGGCAAGUGGUUUGCUAUCGCCUCAUUAUAACGUGGUCUGGACAGUCUUUGGAGGAUGCAUGGAUUGGUGAUCAUUCGCCUUGCCAGGUAAUUGUUGUGAGUAGUCAGUCUUUGAUAAAAUUUUCUGGUCAGCGAAUUGUAC
Molecule: long non-coding RNA, 762 nt
Filed under: Drosophila guanche
Lineage: Eukaryota; Metazoa; Arthropoda; Insecta; Diptera; Drosophilidae
Source: RNAcentral